GACGAACGCUGGCGGCGUGCUUAACACAUGCAAGUCGAGCGGUAAGGCCCUUUCGGGGUACGACGAGCGGCGAACGGGUAGGAGUAACACGUGGGUGACCUCGCCCUCCAGCUCUGGGAGUAAGCCUGGGAAACCGGGUACUAAUACUGGAUAUGACUCCAUGACGCAUGUUGUGGGGUGGAAAGCCUUGUGCGGCUGAGGAUGGGCCCGCGGCCUAUCAGCUUGUUGGUGGGGUGAUGGCCUACCAAGGCGACGACGGGUAGCCGGCCUGAGAGGGCGACCGGCCACACUGGGAC
This 296-nucleotide ribosomal RNA is filed under the name uncultured bacterium. Its description in RNAcentral is "partial 16S ribosomal RNA". It matches the Rfam family "Bacterial small subunit ribosomal RNA", at positions 28 to 319 of the family's 1533-position model. The record is from RNAcentral.